AUACAGAGGGUGCGAGCGUUAAUCGGAAUUACUGGGCGUAAAGCGCGCGUAGGCGGCUUGGUCAGUCGGAUGUGAAAGCCCCGGGCUCAACCUGGGAAUGGCAUUCGAUACUGCCAGGCUAGAGGAUGGGAGAGGGAAGUGGAAUUUCCGGUGUAGCGGUGAAAUGCGUAGAUAUCGGAAGGAACACCAGUGGCGAAGGCGACUUCCUGGCCCAAUACUGACGCUGAGGUGCGAAAGCGUGGGGAGCGAACAGGAUUAGAAACCCUAGUAGUCC
Molecule: ribosomal RNA, 274 nt
Filed under: uncultured bacterium
Lineage: Bacteria
Description: partial 16S ribosomal RNA
Rfam family: Bacterial small subunit ribosomal RNA
Source: RNAcentral